GUAGGUGAACCUGCGGAAGGAUCACUAAAGAGAACUUGCCCUUCGGGGUAGAUCUCCCACCCUUUGUUUAUCACACUUUGUUGCUUUGGCGGGCCUGCCUCACGGCUGCCGGCGUAAGCUGGCUCGCGCCCGCCAGAGACCCCCAAACUCUGAAUAUUGUCGUCUGAGUAAUAUAUAAUAAGUUAAAACUUUCAACAACGGAUCUCUUGGUUCUGGCAUCGAUGAAGAACGCAGCAUCUGACUGACUACG
RNAcentral lists this unclassified non-coding RNA (250 nucleotides) under plant metagenome. Its description in RNAcentral is "partial contains small subunit ribosomal RNA, internal transcribed spacer 1, and 5.8S ribosomal RNA". The stretch from base 187 to 250 matches the Rfam family "5.8S ribosomal RNA", at positions 1 to 57 of the family's 154-position model. The record is from RNAcentral.